GCUGGGGUCGCCUAGUCCGGUAGGGCGGCAGACUGCUAAUCUGUUUUCCGCAAGGAUUCGUGGGUUCAAAUCCCACCCCCGGCG
Molecule: transfer RNA, 84 nt
Filed under: Microcaldota archaeon
Lineage: Archaea; Nanobdellati; Microcaldota
Also listed under: 2 other names
Description: tRNA-Ser
Rfam family: tRNA
About the family: Transfer RNA (tRNA) molecules are approximately 80 nucleotides in length. Their secondary structure includes four short double-helical elements and three loops (D, anti-codon, and T loops). Further hydrogen bonds mediate the characteristic L-shaped molecular structure. tRNAs have two regions of fundamental functional importance: the anti-codon, which is responsible for specific mRNA codon recognition, and the 3' end, to which the tRNAs corresponding amino acid is attached (by aminoacyl-tRNA synthetases). tRNAs cope with the degeneracy of the genetic code in two manners: having more than one tRNA (with a specific anti-codon) for a particular amino acid; and 'wobble' base-pairing, i.e. permitting non-standard base-pairing at the 3rd anti-codon position.
Source: RNAcentral